Molecule: small nucleolar RNA, 93 nt
Organism: Thalassophryne amazonica
Lineage: Eukaryota; Metazoa; Chordata; Actinopteri; Batrachoidiformes; Batrachoididae
Product: small nucleolar SNORD12/SNORD106
Exons: 1
Source: RefSeq, a predicted model, not a curated record
GACGUGGUUGAUGAUGCAUAUUCUUUUUUCCCCAUCUUAUCGACUAUGGUGAAACAGAUCUGAAAAUAAGCCAAACAUGUCUGAAACCAUGUC